GGGAAGCGCCUACCGCAUGGUGGGUGUUGGAAGAUUUAUCGGUUUUGGAUGGACUCGCGGCCUAUCAGCUUGUUGGUGAGGUAAUGGGCUCACCAAGGCGACGACGGGUAGCCGGCCUGAGAGGGUGACCGGCCGACACUGGGACUGAGACACGGCCCAGACUCCUACGGGAGGCAGCAGUGGGGAAUAUUGCACAAUGGGCGCAAGCCUGAUGCAAGCGACGCCGCGUGAGGGAUGACGGCCUUCGGGUUGUAAACCUCUUUCAGUAGGGAAGAAGCGAAAGUGACGGUACCUGCAGAAGAAGCACCGGCUAACUACGUGCCAGCAGCCGCGGUAAUACGUAGGGUGCGAGCGUUAUCCGGAAUUAUUGGGCGUAAAGAGCUCGUAGGCGGUUUGUCGCGUCUGUCGUGAAAGUCCGGGGCUUAACCCCGGAUCUGCGGUGGGUACGGGCAGACUAGAGUGCAGUAGGGGAGACUGGAAUUCCUGGUGUAGCGGUGGAAUGCGCAGAUAUCCAGGAGGAACACCGAUGGCGGGUCGACGCGGCCG
Molecule: ribosomal RNA, 546 nt
Filed under: uncultured bacterium
Lineage: Bacteria
Description: bacterial SSU rRNA
Rfam family: Bacterial small subunit ribosomal RNA
Source: RNAcentral